RNAcentral lists this long non-coding RNA (11360 nucleotides) under Homo sapiens (human). RNAcentral describes it as "non-protein coding lnc-ZNF708-2:9". Lineage: Eukaryota; Metazoa; Chordata; Mammalia; Primates; Hominidae. The record is from RNAcentral.
GUCUCUUGCUCCAGCCAGAGCUCGAGGUUAGCUCUUCACUGCCCUGUGUCUUCUUUCCAAGGGUCUCGGUGAUUCGGCCACAGCCUCAGCCUCCAUCACGCGGUGAACUGAUGGUGCUGGAAGAUUCAUAGACUCCAGGACAUUCCUGAAGCCGAGAAAAGGUUAAGUAGGGUCUGGCCUGGAAUACUCUCCUAGAUGAAGAUAGCCCAACCAUGAGCCACCUUCGAAGCAGAUGAGAUGAAAUUAAAGCUCUUCAACUCCUAAAGGCCCAGAGACUAUCACAAAAGAGGUCAGAAAUCCUGAAGGUCACUUUCUGACAAACUCAGGAACCCCAGGUUUAUCUUGGAGCCUCAAGAGGAGAUAAAUUCACCCAACUCAGGCUGGAGUGCAGUGGAAUGAUCUUGGCUCACUUCCGUCUCCGCCUUCCAGUUUCAAGUGAUUCUCCUGCCUCAGCCUACUGAGUAGUUGGGAUUACAGGUGCCUGCCACCACACCCAGCUAAUUUUUGUAUUUUUAGUAAAGAUGGGGUUUCACCAUGUUGGCCAGGCUGGUCUCAAACUCCUGACGUCAUGAUCUGCCCGCUUCAGUCUCCCAAAGUGUGAUUACAGAGUGAGGCUGGCUGGGGGAGCCUGGGCUCCUCUGUCCUCCCCGAGGUGGCAGUGGCUGAUGUCUGCUCAGGUGUGAGGGGGUGCUGCCAUCCUCUGGGCCUGAGGCUGCCUGGCCCAGCCCCUCCUAACUCCCUGGACUCUUCCACGGUGUCUUCAGGCCCCUACACCAUCCUUUGUGUAAGGGGAGGUGGCAGCAUAGAGAUGAUGGGGGAACUGCCCCAUGUGCCAAGGAAAGCUCACCCAUCUGUGCGAAAUGCUCUGGUUGACAUUGGGUUUUUGCGCACCAAACUGGGCCAUGACCAAGGUUUAUAACCAAGGUGUCUCCGGGCAUGGGCACUUUGGCUCUUGUAGAAACCACCCCACUGGCAGGAGACGGCGGUAGCUGUGGUCAUUGAAAACAAGCUCCUGCUGAUAAAUCUCAGACACCAGACACAGAAGAACCUGGAGACCCUGCCAGAGAGCUUGAGGCAAAUGGAUGGACUGUUGGAGCAGCUGAGGGUGAAGCAGCACAAACUCCUCAAAGUUGAAUAGCAAAGCAGCCACCAGAGAUGGACAAGAAAAAUGAACAAAGAAAAUUAGCAGAAAUCAAAGGCAGAUGCUAAAGCAGUGCAAAAUCAUUCAUUCAAUGAUAGAAAUGAAAUUGAUGAAGGAGUCUGGAAAAUGAAUGACAGAAGAGAAUUAAACAGCAGUGACCAUAGUAAGGUCCUGACGAUUCUGGUCCACUGAAUCCCAUCAUCCCUAAGACAGUAAAUAUCAUCACAGUCACCACCAGCAAGUUACCACCACAGCAUUUCCUGUUUGUUCCAAAAUGAAUAAAGAUGAUUCUCAUCACAAGGGCAAAUACAAAGUAGUUUAGUAUGUUUUUAACUAAACUAAAGGUGUUUGGUUUACUUUUUCUAAGUUCUCAUAAUUCUGAAAAUGCAGUUGACACUUGUGUGGCUCAUGAUGUUUUUAAUAGUCUAAUGCUACUUGAAUUGUUCAAAAACCACUGUAUUUUAAAUUAAGAUGAAUAAACGGUCCUUUGAAAACUGGCACAAGGCAAGGAUGCCCUCUGUCACCACUCCUAUUCAACACAGUAUUGGAAGUUCUGGCCAGGGCAAUCAGGCAAGGGAAAGCAAUACAGCGUAUCAAAAUAGGAAGAGAGGAAGUCAAAUUGUCUCUGUUUGCAGAUGACAUGAUUGCAUAUUUAGAAAACCCCAUCUUCUCAGCCCAAAACCUCCUUAAGCUGAUAAGCAACUUCAGCAGUCUCAGAAUACAAAAUCAAUGUGCAAAAAAUCACAAGCAUUCCUAUACAUUAAUAACAGACAAACAGAGAGCCAAAUCAUGAGUGAACUCCCACUCACAAUUGCUAGUAAGAGAAUAAAAUACCUAGGAAAAUACAGCUUACAAGGGACAUGAAGGACCUCUUCAAGGAGAACUACAAACCACUGCUCAAGGAAAUGAGAAGAGACAAACAAAUGGGAAAGCAUUCCAUGCUCAUGGAUAGGAAGAAUCAAUAUCGUGAAAAUGGCCAUAGUGCCCAAAGUAAUUUUAUAGAUUCAAUGCUAUCCUCAUUAAGCUACCAUUGAUUUUCUUCACAGAAUUGGAAAAAACUACUUUAAACUUCAUAUGGAACCAAAAAAGAGCCUGCACAACCAAGACAAUACUGGGCAAGAAGAACAAAGCUGGAAACAUCAGGCUACCUGGCUUCAAACUAUACUACAAGGCUACAGGAACCAAAACAGCAUGGUACUGGUACCAAACAGAUAUGUAGACCAGUGGAACAGAACAGGGCCUCAGAAAUUGAUAUCACUCUGUCACCAUCAAAAAAUACUUAUUUAGUGUCAAAUCCUACUGUGAAAUAGCAGAACUGUGGGAUUUGUAAAGUGGAAAUGCAGAAUUCAAAACAGAGAUAUAUACCAAUGGAACAGAGCAGAGGCCUCAGAAAUACCACCACACGGCUACAACAAUCUGAUCUUUGACAAACCUGACACACACAAGCAAUGAGAAAAAGAUUCCCUAUUUAAUAAAUGGUGUUGGGAAAACUGGCUAGCCAUAUGUAGAAAAUUGAAACUGGACCCCUUUCUUACCCGUUUUACAAAAAUCAACUCAAGAUGUAUCAAAGACUUAAAUGUAAGACCUAAGACCAUAAAAAUCCUAGAAGAAAACCUGGGCAGUACCAUUCAGGACAUAGGCAUGGGCAAAGCCUUCAUGUCCAAAACACCAAAAGCAGUGGCAACAAAAGCCAAAAUUGACAAAUGGGAUCUAAUUAAAUUAAAUAGCUUCUGCACAGCAAAAGAAACUCAUCAGAGUGAACAGGCAACUACAGAAUGGGAGAAAAUUCUUGCAAUCUAUCCAUCUGACAAAAGGCUAAUAUCUAGAAUCUACAAAGAAUUUAAACAGUUUACAAGAAACAAACAAACUGCCCCAUCAAAAAAUGGGCAAAGAUAUGGACAGACACUUCUCAAAAGAAAACAUUUAUGCAGCCAACAGACACAUGAAAAAAUGCUCAUCACUGGUCAUUAGAGAAAUGCAAAUCAAAACCACAAUGAGAUACCAUGUCACACCCGUUAGAAUGGCAAUCAUUAAAAAGUCAGGAAACAACAGUGCUGGAGUGGAUAUGGAGAAAUAGGAACACUUUUACACUGUUGGGAGUGUAAAUUAGUUCAACCAUUGUGGAAAACAGUGUGGCAAUUCCUCAAGGAUCUAGAACUAGAAAUAACAUUUGACCAAUUCCAUUACUGAGUAUAUACCUAAAGGAUUAUAAAUCAUUCUAUGAUAAAGACACAUGCACACGUCUGUUUAUUGUGGCACUAUUCACAAUAGCAAAGACUUGAAACCAACCCAAAUGUCCAUCAAUGAUAGACUGGGUAAAGAAAAUGUGGCACAUAUACACUGUGGAAUACUGUGCAGGUGUAAAAAAGGAUGAGUUCAUGUCCUUUGCAGGGACAUGGAUGAAGCUGGAAACCAUCAUUCUCAGCAAACUAGCACAAGAUCAGAAAACCAAACGCUGCAUGUUCUCACUCAUAAGUGGGAGUUGAACAGUGAGAACACAUGGACACAGGGAGGUGAACAUCACACACUGGGGCCUGUCAGGUGCUGGGGGGCUAAGGGAGGGAUAACAGGAAAAAUACCUAAUGUAGGUGACGGGUUGAUGGUUGCAGCAAACCACCAUGGCACAUGUGUACACGUAUGUAAUAAAACUGAUGUUCUUCACAUGUAACCCAGAACUUAAAGUAUAAUAAUAAAAAGAAGAAUAAAUAUUUGUUUUAUAUAUUUAAAGCUUAGAAUCACAAAUAAUGCUUCUGUUUAUGAUUUGAAAACUUCAAAGUUUGGUUUUCCUUCUGUACAUACACAAAACAUUGUAUUGUGCUGAAAUAUUUGUUUUUUAAAGUGGCAGUCAUAGUUCCUGUCUGUCCGGAUAUAUAUAUGUAUAUAUGUUAAGCAUAACAUAAGAAAGAAAUUUCAUUAGCUGGGCAUGAUGGCUCACUCCUGUAAUCCCAGAACCUUGGGAGGCUGAGGUGGGUGGAUUGCCUGAGGUCAGGAGUUUGAGACCAGCCUGGCCAACAUAGUGAAACCUCGUCUCUACUAAAAAUACAAAAAAUUAGGUGGGCGUGGUGGCAGGCACCUGUAAUCCCAGCUACUAGGGAGGCUGAGGCAAGAGAACGGCUUGAACCUGGGAGUCAGAGGUUGACGUGAGCCGAGAUCACACCAUUGCACUCCAGCCUGGUGACAGAGUGAGACUCUGUCUGAAAAAAAAAAAAAAAGAAAAAUUUUAUUUUGUUUUCGGUAAUCUAAGAUUGUUGUACACAAAAACUUUACAGAUUAUGGUAGGGUUUAGCAAACUGUGUAUAUAACGUAACAUUAAUAUCGCUAUUUUCUGAUGUCUAACUUUUAGGAAAGAUUUUUUGUUUACAAAUGUCUCCACAAAUUCUGGCUUAUUUUAUAAAAAUAGCAGAAUACUAAAGAAAUGGGUGGUUUGCCACACUACAUGAAUUCACACACUACUGGCAUUCAAUUAAAAUAGCAAAUAUUUUCCUCAAAAUUUAGACAGAUGAAAUAAUUUCUUGAUUUUUGAGUGCAGUGACAGACAUUCACAAAUAUUUCAGAAAUCAAAGCUGUAUUAGGUUUUACUUAGUAGUAAUAUGUAUAUAAGAUCAAGGAUCUGUUCAGAAUAGAUAUUUUUCAUCAAUAAUUUGGUGCUUUCAAAUACCCAGAAGUCUUGUUUUAAUCAGAUGAAGUCUGAGGAUAGUUUAGUAAUUUUACUUUUUGUAUGAUGUGUUCACAAUUUUCUAAUUUAACCUAGUAUUGAUUGAUGAUGGGUAAACCAACUUUUUUUUUUAAUCUCGUAGGUUUAUUAUGUUGUUGAAGAUGUUUUUAGUUAGAAUUCUGUCUUUCAAAAUUGUUUACAGAGAUUUAGGUCUAGUUGAAUUUGCUCAACCUGUUAAUCAGUGUCAGCUGCCAGAUUCUAAUUCAUUUUUAGUGUGCCUGUACUUUUCUUUCUCUAAACUAAAUUUAUAUUCUCUAUAUUACUUGUUCAAAUGUGAUAUAAUACAGCUCACACAUUUAAAACAAAACCAUGAGGACAAAUUAAUUCUGGCUUAGUAUAAAGAAGCUGUUACCAAAUUAGUGUUACAUAUGCAGAUGGAUGCAGCUCAACAAAAUUUUACACAAAAAAAAUUGAAUUGAACUACACGUGUUGCCAUGACUUAGCCUCUAAUGAUCUCGUGAAUAAAGACAAAUUUCAACACAUUUAUUCAUUUGCUUUCAUUAUGUCUAAUGGUAGUGUGUCAAAAAUUCUCAUGCUACUGUCUGAGAAAACACGUUCUACUUUUACUUAAGAAAUCAACUGAAUGGCAUUUUUAUAACCUUGCACCACAUAAGGAAAAACUGCAAUGUAGUCUGCGUGGAAAAGGAUAAUCCAGAAUGUCACUUUCAAUAUUUAAGUAUUUAACCUUUUGGUUGAAAAAUGUAGUAAAAUACGGAUGCCAAGCCGAGGCUGGACUGUGCUGCCGCCAUCUCGGCUCACUGCAACAUCCCUGCCUGAUUCUCCUGCCUCAGCCUGCCGAGUGCCUGGGAUUGCAGGCGCAUGCCGCCACGCCUGACUGGUUUUUGUAUUUUUUGGUGGAGACGGGGUUUCGCCAUGUUGGCCAGGCUGGUCUCCAGCUCCUGACCGCGAGUGAUCUGCCUGCCCGGGCGUCCCGAGGUGCCGGGAUUGCAGACGGAGUCUCGCUCACUCAGUGCUCAAUCUUGCCCAGGCUGGAGUGCAGUGGCGUGAUCUCAGCUCGCUACAACCUCCACCUCCCAGCCACCUGCCUUGGCCUCCCAAAAUGCCCAGAUUGCAGCCUCUGCCCGGCUGCCACCCUGUCUGGGAAGUGAGGAGCGUCUUUGCCUGGCCGUCCAUCAUCUGGGAUGUGAGGAGCCCCUCUGCCCGGCUGCCCAGUCUGGGAAGUGAGGAGCGCCUCUUCCCGGCCGCCAUCCCAUCUAGGAAGUGAGGAGCGUCUCUGCCCAGCCACCCAUCGUCUGAGAUGUGGGGAGCGCCUCUGCCCCGCUGCCCCGUCUGGGAUGUGAGGAGCGCCUCUGCCCGGCCACAACCCCGUCUGGGAUCUGAGGAGUGUCUGUCUCUGCCCGACCGCCACCCCGUCUGGGAGGUGAGGAGCGUCUCUGCCUGGCCGCCCCGUCUGAGAAGUGAGGAGCCCCUCCGCCCGGCAGCCGCCCCGCCUGGGAAGUGAGGAGCGUCUCCGCCCGGCAGCCGCCCCGUCCGGGAGGUGGGGGGCAGCCCCCGCCCAGCCAUCCGCCCCGUCCAGGAGGGAGGUGGGGGGGUGCCUCUGCCCGGCCACCCCGUCUGGGAAGUGAGGAGCCCCUCUGCCCGGCCGCCACCCCGUCUAGGAGGUGUACCCAACAGCUCAUUGAGAACGGGCCAUGAUGACAAUGGCGGUUUUGUCGAAUAGAAAAGGGGGAAAUGUGGGGAAGGAAAGAGAGAUCAGAUUGUUGCUGUGUCUGUGUAGAAAGAAGUAGACAUGGGAGACUCCAUUUUGUUCGGUACUAAGAAAAAUUUUUCUGCCUUGGGAUGCUGUUAAUCUAUAACCUUACCCCCCACCCCCCACCCCGUGCUCUCUGAAACAUGUGCUGUGUCCACUCAGGGUUAAAUGGAUUAAGGGCGGUGCAAGAUGUGCUUUGUGAAACAGAUGCUUGAAGGCAGCAUACUUGUUAAGAGUCAUCACCACUCCCUAAUCUCAAGUACCCAGGGACACAAACACUGUGGAAGGCCGCAGGGUCCCCUGCCUAGGAAAACCACAGACCCUUGUUCACAUGUUUAUCUGCUGACCUUCCCUCCACUGCUGUCCUAUGACCCUGCCAAAUCCCCGUCUCUGAGAAACACCCAAGAAUGAUCAAUAAAUACUAAAAAAAAAAAAAAAAAAAAGUAGUAAAAUAGAGCUCUUGGUAAGUUUUGUGUAGCUUAACAUCAGCAUAAAGUAGGAAAAAAUAUCUUUAAAAAUGUAAACGGACAAAAACCUACACCAAAAAAACAAACAUACACCAAUGCAUACAUAUUGACUGAAGCUCCAGGGAUGUAAAAUAAUUUCUCCUGGGUACACAGCUAGUGACCCAAAUCAAGCUCAAAUAUGUUUGAUUUUAAAAUUGUCAUUUUCUCACUUUUGACAAUAUUGACAUAACAGGUAAAUCUUUGUCUCAGAGUUGAUAGUUGAAAAUAAACUAAGAUAAGUAUUAUUGAAGCUGGCUAGCUAGCCAAGAAGGUCACCAUGUCCUCAGGAUGCAGCAGCCAUGGCGAUUUCCUGGUGAUAGCAUAUUAUCAACACAAUAAACCCCAACAUUUGCAUUGCGUUUCAGCUCAUUCAAGCAAAGCUCUCUAGUAGGGAUAUUCCCCCAUAAAGAGCAUGCACAUUUUGAUUUUACUUGUCCUCUGACCUUUUACUCAUCGUAAUACUAAAAAACACACACGUGAGUGGAGUUUUUGCUAAUGAGAUGCUAAUUAGAUAUGUGACAUAUGCUAAUGAGAUAUGUGACAUAUAAACAAGCAUGUACAGCCACUGUGUAUGUGCACCAAGAGGACCACCCAGAACAUGCUUACUAAUAACACCACUUUCUAACUCUUUGUAAAUAAUUAUGUAAGACUCCGAUAAAUGGAGUCUCUCUAUUUCCAGUCUUUGCUGUCUCAUUCUUAUAAGCAGCCCAUCCUGAAUUGCUUUUCUCUCAGGGGUGUUUUGCACCGCACUUUUAAAAUAGUGUUUCUACUUUGCGAUAAAUCUAUCUAUGCUGCAUCCUCAUUUUUUUGCGUCUCGUUUAAAUUUUUGAAACUAAGAACCGAGGUCUCACAACAGCCUUCAGGACUAUUGUGCUUUGUUUUGUUUUCUUAACAUUAUUUUAUGUGAUAUUUCAUAUUUACAUUUUCAACAUAGCCAAAACUGCUAAAUUAAAAACUUAAAUGAUCAUGCUUUUAAAGUGAUUUGUCUUAAAAGCAUGUAUGUAUAUUUUUCAAGUUUCAGCUUUAUGUAUUCAAAUUUUUUAAAAAUUCUGACACAUAUAUCUAUCAAAUUUAAUAUUUUAAAUAAUUUGAAUUCACUUCCAAAAUGAUUUAUAUUCAUUGUUAUAUUUCAUUUUGACCAAAUUUGGCUUUCCAAGCUAAAGAAAUGCUCUGUAGUAAAAUAAAGGCUCAUGUUUUUAUCAAUAAUAUUUUAUGUCUGAGGACUUAAGCAUCAAGGACAGAAAUCUGGAUGAUGUUGAGUGAAUAUUUAAAUUGAUAAAGUAGAAAUUAUCAGAAUCAAAUAAGGGGUGGAUCCAGAAACAUAGUACUUAAUAAAACCAUUCAGGGUAUGUUUGACAAACAAGAAGAUUGCAUAGGAUCUGCACUGCACUACUAAUGUAAAGCGUUCUCUGUAACUUUAUUCUCCACGUACUCAUACACAAAAUGAAUAAGAUUAACUCCUUUUCCUGGAAGGCAGUGAUUCCUCUUUUAUUCUGUUACAUCUGUUCCACAUUGCUGUGAUAAUGCUGUUGAAGUGCACCCCCUUACACCAGAAGAUCACCUGUGUGAAUGUGAAUAGACUGACACUGGAGAGGACCAGCUCAGCACAGUCACUUGAACUGCCCCUUUGCAUUUCAGGCAGGUAAAAUGCCUUUGAAGAGUGAAAAUAAAGUUACUGCUGAUUAAGCAGAGAGUUUGACUUGCUGAUCAAUUUGAUCAGAAGCCUCUCAAUGAGAUAAUUACUGCAUUUAUUUAUUUCAAGAAAAGUAAAAGCCAAAGCCCAGAAUGUGGCAAGGCAAGAGAAACAAAGAAAAACAAACGUCUGUAUUUAGCCAGUUCUUGUUUUUUCUUUCAAUGCAGCUACAAGGCCACCAGCUAUUAAAGGCCACAAGUUAUGCCAAGAAUUCAGUUAUGCUAUAAAUUACAUAAACUGGUCAUUAUAUAAUUAACUGCCUUUGUUUUGCUUCUGUAAGUUUACUUAUUAAAAUCUCACUCAGUCUUUGUUCAAGGCUCAGCUUUUUGGAUGUGAAUUCACUGAGCCAGAGCAUACCUUAAAAUAAAUAUCCUCCUUUAUUGACUCAUACUGGUCUCUCUAGUCCUCUGUGUCCCACAUUUCUUGGCGAGCCAGCCAGGAGCAGAGACUGUCUCCUUUGCCUUGAAAUCGGGGCUGGAGCCCCGGAUUCAAGGGAAAAUCGGGGCUGGAGCCUUGAUUCAAGGGAAACCUGGGACCCAGGCACCGCCGGGAGAACUUCAGCCCGGAGGGGAAAUCAGCUCUCCCAUGACCCGGCAUCCCUACCCAGCAGUGCAACGGAGCCUGAGAAGGGCUACAGGAUGAUUCCAGAAAUAGCGCACUUUAGGAACCACGGUAAGUUAUUGGGGACCAAGGCAGGACCCGUCCCGUAAGGACGGAAGGGGAGCCUGAUCACCUCCCGGGGUGUAACUAGUAGUCCGACCCAGAGAGGCUUGGGGCGGCAAGAGGGGCUUGCCAAUUCAGAAGAAUCUCACACCUCAACCAACACAGGAUGCGAGAGUGGCUUGCUUAGUUGGUUAGGUAAAGGAAACUGGAGGUGGUGAGAGUUGCUUGCCACCCCAAUUAGGAACACAGGAACUGGGAACAGGGACGUAUAUAAAAGUGUGUGAAAGAUGGUUCCAGGAGAAUACAAUGCAAGGAGUGACGUGGGGAGUCACAGAUCUCUUAGCAUUGACUGUGUGCUCCGAGCAAAGUAUGGGGCUGCCCUGGACUAGUGGUGAACUGUAUACGUCCAAUAGGAGUUGCCCCACAGCUCAGAGUUGUGGUGGGAAUAAGGACCUCUCCAAAGCCAAGCAGCAUCUGAAAACUCCCGUAAUUGGGGAUGGUCUGGUCAGUCUGAGGCAAAAGGAAGAGUGGGUGUGCUGCGUAGUAAAGGGAGGAAAUGGGAGUAAAGUCAUCAAAGUCCACUCCAUUGGAGCGCAUGUUACAGAACUUUAAAGAAGGUUUUACAGGGAAUUAUGGAGUUAAGCUAACCCCCCAGAGGUUAAGAACUCUCUGUGAAUUAGAACUGCCUUCUUUUAGUGUUGGAUGACUGAUUGAAGGAACUAUAGAUAGGAAAAUAAUUGGCCGUGUAUUUAAGGUGGUGACAGGUCAGAGGACAGCCUCGGCAUCCAGAUCAGUUUCCUUAUAUUGACUCAUGGUUAAAUCUAGCACAAACAAGACCAGCCUGAAUCCAGCCCUGUUUAGCAGCUUAUUGCAAAACACUUGUGGCCUAAGCCAAGCCAAAAAAUGAAAGUAAGAGCAGCUUCGCUAGCAGAUACAGAGUUAAAGAAGAAGGCCCAGAGGGAGCAAGAAAAGCCAGUUUUGCAGGAGCCACCAGAGGGAAUAAAGAUUCCUACUCCAUAUGUCACAGCCUACCCCACUUUACCAAGGCCAGCAGCCCCCUGGGAACCAGAUUCAGGUGCUAGCACACCCCAACUCUCACCCUGAAAUGAAAGACUGGAGACUUGAGAGGUCAGGGAAAGAAGUCAAGAUAGUCAAGCAGGCCAUCUCAGAUCUGGUUGUGCUUGAGAUAUGCAAAUGCCUCUCAGGGAGACACGAGGACCCAUUUAUUAAGAUAACCAAGGCCAAGUCCAAGGGUGGGAAUGGACUUUCAUCUGUCAGCCCUUUUCAACCACUGAUCUCUUAAACUGGAAACACCAUACUCCCUCCUAUAUGGAGAAGCCCCAAGCUCUUAUAGAUCUGAUGCAGUCCAUCUUUCUGACACAGAAUCCAACCUGACCAGACUGCAGGCAGCUGCUUCUCAUGCUGUAUAACACUAAGGAGCACAGGAUAGUAACCUAGACAGCUCUCUGCUGGCUAGAAGCCCAUGCACGAGCAGAUGCAGUAAAUAGGCAGGCUGGCUGCGGUGGCUCAUGCCUGUAAUCCCAGCACUUUGGGAGGCUGAGACAGGUGGAUCACGAGGUCAGGAGAUCGAGACCAUCCUGGCUAACAUGGUGAAACCUUGUCUCUACUAAAAAUACAAAAAAAUUAGCUGGGCGUGGUGGCGGGUGCCUGUAGUCCCAGCUACUUGGGAGGCUGAGGCAGGAGAAUGGUGUGAACCUGGGAGGCAGAGCUUGCAGUGAGCCGAGAUGGUGCCAGUGCACUCUAGCCUGGGUGACAGAGCGAGACUCCAUCUCAAAAAAAAAAAAGAAAAUGCUCAGGCAUAUGCUCAGGGCCAGUUCCCAGACCAAAAUCCCAACUGGGACUCAGAAGAUGCGACUCAGCUUCAGCAUUUGCAGAGGUACCAAAAGGCACUUAUGCAAAGGCUAAGGGAU